GGGUAACAGGGUUGCUUGCAACCGCUGACGACCGGCGCACGGGUGCGUAACGCGUAUAGAACCUACCUUUUACUGAGGGAUAGCCCAGAGAAAUUUGGAUUAAUACCUCAUGGUAUUGUGAAGUGGCCUCACUUUAUAAUUAAAGAUUUAUCGGUAAGAGAUGGCUAUGCGUCCUAUUAGCUAGUUGGUAUGGUAACGGCAUACCAAGGCUACGAUAGGUAGGGGUCCUGAGAGGGAGAUCCCCCACACUGGUACUGAGACACGGACCAGACUCCUACGGGAGGCAGCAGUGAGGAAUAUUGGACAAUGGAGGCAACUCUGAUCCAGCCAUGCCGCGUGCAGGAAGACUGCCCUAUGGGUUGUAAACUGCUUUUAUAGAGGAAGAAUGCCCACUACGUGUAGUGGUUUGACGGUACUCUACGAAUAAGGAUCGGCUAACUCCGUGCCAGCAGCCGCGGUAAUACGGAGGAUCCAAGCGUUAUCCGGAAUCAUUGGGUUUAAAGGGUCCGUAGGCGGGUUUAUAAGUCAGUGGUGAAAGUUUGCGGCUCAACCGUAAAAUUGCCAUUGAUACUGUAGACCUUGAAUUAUUGUGAAGUGGUUAGAAUAAGUAGUGUAGCGGUGAAAUGCAUAGAUAUUACUUAGAAUACCGAUUGCGAAGGCAGAUCACUAACAAUCAAUUGACGCUAAGGGACGAAAGCGUGGGUAGCGAACAGGAUUAGAUACCCUGGUAGUCCACGCCGUAAACGAUGGUUACUAGCUGUUUGGACUUCGGUCUGAGUGGCUAAGCGAAAGUGAUAAGUAACCCACCUGGGGAGUACGUUCGCAAGAAUGAAACUCAAAGGAAUUGACGGGGGCCCGCACAAGCGGUGGAGCAUGUGGUUUAAUUCGAUGAUACGCGAGGAA
RNAcentral lists this ribosomal RNA (903 nucleotides) under uncultured Flavobacteriaceae bacterium. RNAcentral describes it as "bacterial SSU rRNA". It matches the Rfam family "Bacterial small subunit ribosomal RNA", at positions 67 to 968 of the family's 1533-position model. Lineage: Bacteria; Pseudomonadati; Bacteroidota; Flavobacteriia; Flavobacteriales; Flavobacteriaceae. The record is from RNAcentral.